GACCGCGUAGCUCAGUUGGUAGAGCAUUGGGCUAGUUUUCCAAAGGUUGUAGGUUCGAUUCCCACCGUGGUCA
Molecule: transfer RNA, 73 nt
Filed under: Paramuricea clavata
Lineage: Eukaryota; Metazoa; Cnidaria; Anthozoa; Malacalcyonacea; Plexauridae
Rfam family: tRNA
About the family: Transfer RNA (tRNA) molecules are approximately 80 nucleotides in length. Their secondary structure includes four short double-helical elements and three loops (D, anti-codon, and T loops).
Source: Rfam by way of RNAcentral